CACGUAGGGCGCGAGCGUUGUCCGGAAUUAUUGGGCGUAAAGAGCUCGUAGGCGGCCUGUUGCGUCCGCUGUGAAAGCCCGGGGCUUAACCCCGGGUCGGCAGUGGAUACGGGCAGGCUAGAGGUAGGUAGGGGAGAAUGGAAUUCCCGGUGUAGCGGUGAAAUGCGCAGAUAUCGGGAGGAACACCGGUGGCGAAGGCGGUUCUCUGGGCCUUACCUGACGCUGGGGAGCGAAAGCGUGGGGAGCGAACAGG
Molecule: ribosomal RNA, 253 nt
Filed under: uncultured bacterium
Lineage: Bacteria
Description: partial 16S ribosomal RNA
Rfam family: Bacterial small subunit ribosomal RNA
Source: RNAcentral